UGAGUUCGAUCCUGGCUCACAAGGAACGCUAACUAUAUGCUUAACACAUGCAAGUCGAACUUUGUUUUCGGAGAGCUGGGCAGAAGGAAAAGAGGCUCCUAGAAGAAGUUCUCUCGCCCUGCUUCAAGACUACACGACACGCACUACGGAUUUGACCUAACGGCCUCCGUUUGCUGGAAUCAGAAUAGUUGAGAACAAGUGGCAAACGGGUGCGUAACACGUGGGAAUCUACCGAACUGUUUGGGCCAAAUCCUGAAGAAAGCUCCAAAGCGCUGUUUGAUGAGCCUGCGUAGUAUUGGUAGUUGGUUAGGUAAAGUCUGACCAAGCCAAUGAUGCUUACAUGGUCUUUUCGGAUGAUCAACCACACUGGGACUGAGACACGGCCUGGACCCACACAGGUGGAGCAGCGGGGAAUCUUAGACAAUAGGCGAAAGCCCGAUCCAACAAUAUUGCAUGUGUGAAGAAGGGCAAUGCCACUUGUAAAGCUCCUUCGUCGAGUGCGCGAUCAUGAUAGGACUUGAGGAAGAAGCCCCGGCUAACUCCGUGCCAGCAGCAGCGGUAAGACGGGGGGAGUGUUCUUCGGAAUGACUGGGCGUAAAGGGCACGUAGGCGGCGAAUCGGGUAGAAAGUGAAAGUCGUCAAAAAGUGUCGGAAUGCUCUCGAAACCAAUUCACUUGAGUGAGAUUGAGGAAAGUGGAAUUUCAUCUGUAGGGGUGAAAUCCGUAGAUUUACGAAGGAACGCCAAAAGCGAAGGCAACUCUGUGAGUCCCUACAGACGCUGGGGUGCGAAAGCAUGGGGAGCGAACAUGAUUAGAUACCCUGGUAGUCCAUGCCGUAAAUGAUAAGUGUUCGCCCUUGUCCUAUGCGGAUCUGGGGCCUAGCUAACAGGUGAAACACUCCACUUGGGAAGUACGAUCGUAAGACCGAAACUCAAAGGAAUUGACGGGGGCCUGCACAAGCGACAAAGCAUGUGGUUUAAUUCAAUACAACGUGCAAAACCUUACCAGCCCUUGACAUAUGAAUAACGAAACCUAUCCUUAAUAGGAUGGCACUGACUUUAAUACAGGUGCUGGAUGGAUGUCGUCAGCUCGUGCCGUGAGAUGUUUGGUCAAGUUCUAUAACGAGCGAAACCCUCGUUUUGUGUUGCUAAGACAUACGCCUAAGGAGAAAUUGCCACCAAAGUGAACCAAGGAGCCGAGUUACGUGGCAGCGCUACUACAUGAUUGAGUGCGAGCAGAUAGCUGUGCUUUCAGCAAAAAAUUUACCAUUGGGUGAACCGAAGUCGUCUUACCCAGGACCCAUGGAGACCUACAUAUAGUGAAGUCAAAGUACAACUGAGCGUGGAGGUUUGGUCGAAAUUGGUUACGACGACGUCUAGUUGGCGGUGGAGGAAGACUCGGCAUGAAGGCCAGCCUCCCGGUGGUGUGGCACGUAAUGGUAAUGGUACGCGCGCUCCUCCUAAACAAAGAAAAAGGUGUGUAUCGCACUCAUGAUGGACUGCCACACACGUGCGCAUGGCUCUUAUGGGCUGGGCCACACACGUGCUACAGUGGCAAUACAAUGGGAAGCAAGGUUGUAAGGUGUAGUGAAUCCGGAAAUAUUGCCUCAGUUUGGAUUUUUCUUUGCAACUUGGGAUCAUUAAGUUGAAAUAUCUAGUAAUCGCGGAUCAGCAUGCCGCGGUCAAUAUGUACCCGGGCCCUGUACACACUUCCAGUCACACCCUGGUAAUUGGUUUCGCCCGAAGCAUCGGACCAAUGAUCACCCAUGACUUCUAUGUACCACCAGUGCCACAAAGGCCUUUGGUGGUCUUAUCGGCGCAUACCACGGUGGGGUCUUUGACUGGGGUGAAGUCGUAACAAGGUAUCCGUAGGGGAACUUGUGGAUG
RNAcentral lists this non-coding RNA (1885 nucleotides) under Hordeum vulgare. RNAcentral's name for it is "bacterial SSU rRNA". It matches the Rfam family "Bacterial small subunit ribosomal RNA". Lineage: Eukaryota; Viridiplantae; Streptophyta; Magnoliopsida; Poales; Poaceae. The record is from RNAcentral.